Molecule: ribosomal RNA, 375 nt
Filed under: uncultured organism
Description: partial 16S ribosomal RNA
Rfam family: Bacterial small subunit ribosomal RNA
Source: RNAcentral
GGAGGGGGGGCAAGCGUUAUUCGGAUUACUGGGCGUAAAGCGCACGUAGGCGGGCAACAUAAGUCACAGGGUGAAAGCCCUCGGCUCAACCGAGGAAUUGCCUGCGAAACUGCGUUGCUUGAGUCCGGGAGGGGGGAGCGGAAUUCCCAGUGUAGCGGUGAAAUGCGUAGAUACUGGGAGGAACACCGGUGGCGAAGGCGGCUCCCUGGACCGGUACUGACGCUGAGGUGCGAAAGCGUGGGUAGCAAACAGGAUUAGAUACCCUGGUAGUCCACGCCGUAAACGAUGGGCACUAGGUGCAGCGGGUGUCGACCCCUGCUGUGCCGGAGUUAACGCAUUAAGUGCCCCGCCUGGGGAGUACGGUCGCAAAGGCUG